AGGGUUUAAGGACGAAGAGUCUAGACAUUCAGUUUGUUCCUGCCCCUCAUAAAGGUGAAGAGUAGCAUGUAGUUCGAGGGAAGGGGAGAUUAUAAGCUAGGGUUAGCCAAGGUCAUAGCAGGGAUGGGAGAAUGCGAUCAUAGAAGGAGACCCCUGCAAAUUCAGCCAACAUUUGUGUUGUGCCUAUUAAAUCUGCCCCACGAAUAGGGAAAAGGCAAGUUAUGGAGGCUCUUUUUGAAAAUUAAAAUUACAAAAAACGGGAUUGGACACUCUGAACGUGGUGGAUGGGAUGCGAAAUGACAAGGGAUGCUAUAUAGGUGUUCUCCCUCAUAUCAAAGAAGACAAAGCUUUUACUUACCACGAGUGUCUGCUUCUUUCUUAUAUCAAUUUAUUCUCGGUGCUUUCUUCUUUCUUUACACCUAUGAUUCUAGAAAGACUUCUACCUUUUUGUAUUGUAGUUUGUAGGUUGUUACUAGGACAUUCUGUAGGUAGAACUCCUCUUGAAGAACAGGGUCAAUCAAUAGUUGUUAUGGAUCAGAAGGUGAAUGAUGGUUAAGAAGAAGUGGUUGCAAUUGAAUGUGGUAAGGUGGCCAUUUCGCAGGAGGUAGAUUUGUUGCAGAAUGCACUGGUUAUUUCACCUUUAUCGAUGUUGCCGGCCAAGGAACUUCAUUAUCGGGAGUCUUUACCAUUGCUAUUGUUGGAUAGUGGUCGCAUAGGCUCUCUCCUGGGUAAUCCAAUCCAAAAGGACACUCCAGGUAGUUUUGUUAAUGAUGUUCGGAUGGAUUAUGGGGAACACUUUGAGGACAUUGGAGUCCGUUCAAUGUACUGAAGUCGUUGUUAAGGCUCUUAGGGAGAGAAUUGAGAAAUCCAAGGAGGAAAAGGAGGAGGGAGGUGUGGAGGAAGAGGCUGAAAAUUUAAAGGCCAAGAAUAAGGGCAAAGGGAAGACAAAGGCGACUCUAAAGCCCACUAGAUCCUCAUCAAGGUUUGCUGCUACAAGAUUGGGUAACAGAAGUGGGGUGGAGGAAUUGUUAUUACUUAAAGAUGACAGUGAAAAGGAGUUCGAGCUUAAUUAAUAAAGUAGUUGCACCUCCAUGUCCACCAGGGAUGAAUGUCCUGCCAGACCUGGCUCAACUUCCUUUUGUCAUGAAGACUCUAAGUUGGAAUGUAUGGGGACUGGGUGUUGUCCACCGCAAAAAAGAAGUGUUAAUGAUGGUUAAGAAGUAUAGACCUGAUGUUUGUCUAGUUCAAGAAACAAAGUUACCUGGUCCAUCUUUGUUAGAUGUUCGGUAGGUUUGGGGUUUGGGUUCAUUAGGUUUUUGUAGGCUUGUUUUUGUGGGGGCUUCGAGUGGUCUUUGAUGUUGUUGGGAUCCUUUGUUUUUGGGUUGUAUUGAUACGAUCUUGAAAGAUCUUUUUGUGGGUUUAAUUUUUUUGGGGUCCAUUUACAAGUUUUAAUGGGUGUUUUGUAAUGUGUACGGACCAAAAUACAUCCAAUUUAAAGGAACAGUUCUUGAAUGGUUUCGUUUCUACUAGUGGUGGUACAAUUUACCUUAUUGCUUUGGUGUGGACUUCAGUCUCAUUCGAUGGCUAGAAGAAUGUUCAAUGCAUAGUAUAGAUCAGAUGUUUGUCCACUUCAAGAAACAAAGUUGCUUGGUCCAUCUUUGUUAGAUGUUAGGGAAGUUUGGUGUUUGUGUUCAUUUAGUUUUUGUAGGCUUGAUUCUUUGGGGGCUUCAUGUGGUCUUUGGUGUUGCUGGAAUCCUUUUGCUUUGGGCUGUAUUGAUGUGAUCUUGAAAGAUCUUUUUGUGGGUUUAAUUUUUAUGGGAUCCAUUUAGAAGUUUUAA
Long non-coding RNA from Amborella trichopoda, 1838 nucleotides. RefSeq lists it as uncharacterized. Lineage: Eukaryota; Viridiplantae; Streptophyta; Magnoliopsida; Amborellales; Amborellaceae. The record is from RefSeq and is a predicted model, not a curated record.